This 467-nucleotide ribosomal RNA is filed under the name uncultured bacterium. RNAcentral's name for it is "partial 16S ribosomal RNA". It matches the Rfam family "Bacterial small subunit ribosomal RNA", at positions 36 to 506 of the family's 1533-position model. The record is from RNAcentral.
GCCGCCCUCUUUCUUCGUGCUUAACACAUGCAAGUCGAACGGAAAGGCCCUGCUUUUGUGGGGUGCUCGAGUGGCGAACGGGUGAGUAACACGUGAGUAACCUGCCCUUGACUUUGGGAUAACUUCAGGAAACUGGGGCUAAUACCGGAUAGGAGCUCCUGCUGCAUGGUGGGGGUUGGAAAGUUUCGGCGGUUGGGGAUGGACUCGCGGCUUAUCAGCUUGUUGGUGGGGUAGUGGCUUACCAAGGCUUUGACGGGUAGCCGGCCUGAGAGGGUGACCGGCCACAUUGGGACUGAGAUACGGCCCAGACUCCUACGGGAGGCAGCAGUGGGGAAUAUUGCACAAUGGGCGGAAGCCUGAUGCAGCAACGCCGCGUGCGGGAUGACGGCCUUCGGGUUGUAAACCGCUUUCGCCUGUGACGAAGCGUGAGUGACGGUAAUGGGUAAAGAAGCACCGGCUAACUACGU